Molecule: ribosomal RNA, 700 nt
Filed under: uncultured Bacteroidota bacterium
Lineage: Bacteria; Pseudomonadati; Bacteroidota
Description: bacterial SSU rRNA
Rfam family: Bacterial small subunit ribosomal RNA
Source: RNAcentral
ACAUGCAGUCAAGGGGCUCAGCAAUGGGCACCGGCGCACGGGUGCGUAACGCGUACACAACCUACCCUUAAGAGGGGGAUAGCGGUGGGAAACUGCCGGUAAUACCCCAUAGCAUUACUGGAUCACCUGGUUUAGUAAUUAAAGUUGAGGCGCUUAAGGAUGGGUGUGCGUCUGAUUAGCUAGUUGGUGAGGUAACGGCUCACCAAGGCGACGAUCAGUAGGGGGUGUGAGAGCAUGACCCCCCACACGGGUACUGAGACACGGACCCGACUCCUACGGGAGGCAGCAGUAAGGAAUAUUGGACAAUGGACGGAAGUCUGAUCCAGCCAUGCCGCGUGAAGGAUGAAGGCGCUCAGCGUUGUAAACUUCUUUUGGAUAGGAACAAACCUCCCGAUGCGUUGGGAGCUGAGGGUACUAUCAGAAUAAGCACCGGCUAACUCCGUGCCAGCAGCCGCGGUAAUACGGAGGGUGCAAGCGUUAUCCGGAAUCACUGGGUUUAAAGGGUGCGUAGGCGGUGGCGUAAGUCAGUCGUGAAAUUCCCCGGCUUAACCGGCGGGCGUGCGAUUGAUACUGCGUUACUUGAAUUAGGUUGAGGUAGGCGGAAUGCGACAUGUAGCGGUGAAAUGCAUAGAUAUGUCGUAGAACACCGAUUGCGAAGGCAGCUUGCUGGACCUAAAUUGACGCUGAGGCACGAAAGCGU